RNAcentral lists this ribosomal RNA (423 nucleotides) under uncultured bacterium. RNAcentral describes it as "bacterial SSU rRNA". It matches the Rfam family "Bacterial small subunit ribosomal RNA", at positions 362 to 776 of the family's 1533-position model. The record is from RNAcentral.
UCUUGGGCAAUGGGCGAAAGCCUGACCCAGCGACGCCGCGUGGAGGAAGAAGGCCUUCGGGUCGUAAACUCCUGUUCGGGGAGAAGAACAGGAGGGAAGUGAAUAACUUCUCUCCCUGACGGUAUCCCCGGAGAAAGCUCCGGCUAAUUACGUGCCAGCAGCCGCGGUAAUACGUAAGGAGCGAGCGUUGUCCGGAUUUACUGGGCGUAAAGAGCUCGUAGGUGGUUUCUUAGGUCUCACGUGAAAUUCCCUGGCUCAACUGGGGAGGGUCGUGGGAAACCGAGAAGCUAGAGGGCAGGAGAGGAGAGUGGAAUUCCCGGUGUAGCGGUGAAAUGCGUAGAGAUCGGGAGGAACACCAGUGGUGAAGACGGCUCUCUGGACUGUCCCUGACACUGAGGAGCGAAAGCCAGGGGAGCGUACCGG